GGAAAUACUCUGCUGUCUUUCCCGUGGAAGCUGUCUGCCUCCGUUGCUGACACGCUGCGGGAGUUCAUUUCCUGCUGGGAACAUACCCACGUUGCAGACAAAAAUACUGGGUCAAUUACAGCCUGCAGCAGUGGCUUCACCUGUUGGAGCCUUUGCAUAAAAGCCCAGUAUAUUUUCCCUCAGAGGCUGCUAGGUUAUGAGGGGAAGGACUGCCUUAUGCUGCAUGGCUGUUUGGCUGACGCAGCUGACGGAGAACGGCAUGGGAAAGCAAAGAGAUGCACUGACUUUGCACAAUGUCUUUUCCCUGCAGAGCUGAGCAGAGGGACCUGGCACGAGAGCUGACAUCUCUGAGAACUGGAGCCAAAGCUGCCCUGGAGCACACGGGGACGGGUCAUGGACAAAGCUGUCUGCAGCUGAGAACACUCGCUCACUCAUGGCAAGCCCUGCGGUGGAAACAGAGGAUAGUGAUACUACUCUGGCUCAUUUGGCUGCUGGCUUGAAAGAAGAAAACUGAGAGAUAAGAAAACAGGAAUCGAUUGGAUCAGAACGUUCAGCCUCGUGUCUAAUGCUCAGUGAAACCAAUCUGACUAACUGCUCCACCUGAGCCCUAUGCAUCUGAUCAGCUCGGUGGAGGGCUGGGAGCAUUUCUUUGGCUUGUGGAGAGGAGGAACAAAAGACUCCAUCUGUGAGAGCUGUGGUAGGGGCAGACGUGCAUCCCCAGCUGGGUGCAGCGUGCCCUCCCACGAAUGGCAGUGAAUGUGCUCGGCUGCAGAUGAGCACUGUAACUUUC
RNAcentral lists this long non-coding RNA (790 nucleotides) under Gallus gallus (chicken). Lineage: Eukaryota; Metazoa; Chordata; Aves; Galliformes; Phasianidae. The record is from RNAcentral.